This 117-nucleotide ribosomal RNA is filed under the name Neogale vison (American mink). Lineage: Eukaryota; Metazoa; Chordata; Mammalia; Carnivora; Mustelidae. The record is from RNAcentral.
GUCUACGGCCAUACCACCCUGAACGCGCCCGAUCUCGUCUGAUCUCGGAAGCUAAGCAGGGUCGGGCCUGGUUAGUACUUGGAUGGGAGAUAUGUAGUAGAGGGGCCUCCGAUCACC